GGUGGCUCAGUGGUAGAGCACUUGCCUGGCAUGCACGAGGCCCUGGGUUCGAUUCCCCAGCACCA
Molecule: non-coding RNA, 65 nt
Organism: Dipodomys ordii (Ord's kangaroo rat)
Lineage: Eukaryota; Metazoa; Chordata; Mammalia; Rodentia; Heteromyidae
Source: Rfam